Molecule: transfer RNA, 75 nt
Filed under: Bifidobacterium longum subsp. longum
Lineage: Bacteria; Bacillati; Actinomycetota; Actinomycetes; Bifidobacteriales; Bifidobacteriaceae
Also listed under: 5 other names
Description: tRNA-Pro(tgg)
Rfam family: tRNA
About the family: Transfer RNA (tRNA) molecules are approximately 80 nucleotides in length. Their secondary structure includes four short double-helical elements and three loops (D, anti-codon, and T loops).
Source: RNAcentral
CGGAUUGUGGCGCAGUUUGGUAGCGCACGUGCUUUGGGAGCAUGGGGUCGCAGGUUCGAAUCCUGUCAAUCCGAC